AGUGAACGCUGGCGGUAUGCCUAACACAUGCAAGUCGAACGGCAGCACAGUAAGAGCUUGCUCUUACGGGUGGCGAGUGGCGGACGGGUUAGGACUCCAUCGGCAUCUACUUUUUCGUGGGGGAUAACGUAGGGAAACUUACUCUAAUACCGCAUACGACCUACGGGUGAAAGCAGGGGAUCUUCGGACCUUGCGCGAUUGCAUGAGCCGAUGUCGGCUUAGCUAGUUGGCGGGGUAAAGGCCCACCAAGGCGACGAUCCGUAGCUGGUCUGAGAGGAUGAUCAGCCACACUGGAACUGAGACACGGCCCAGACUCCGACGGGAGGCAGCAGUGGGGAAUAUUGGACAAUGGGCGCAAGCCUGAUCCAGCCAUACCGCGUGGGUGAAGAAGGCCUUCGGGUUGGAAAGCCCUUUUGUUGGGAAAGAAAAGCAGCAGGUUAAUACCCCGCUGUUAUGACGGUACCCAAAGAAUAAGCACCGGCUAACUUCGUG
This 492-nucleotide ribosomal RNA is filed under the name uncultured bacterium. RNAcentral describes it as "partial 16S ribosomal RNA". It matches the Rfam family "Bacterial small subunit ribosomal RNA", at positions 29 to 507 of the family's 1533-position model. The record is from RNAcentral.